This 279-nucleotide ribosomal RNA is filed under the name uncultured bacterium. Its description in RNAcentral is "partial 16S ribosomal RNA". It matches the Rfam family "Bacterial small subunit ribosomal RNA", at positions 506 to 784 of the family's 1533-position model. The record is from RNAcentral.
UGCCAGCCGCCGCGGUAAUACGGAGGAUGCAAGCGUUAUCCGGAUUUAUUGGGUUUAAAGGGUGCGCAGGCGGAAAAUUAAGUCAGUGGUGAAAUCCUGCAGCUCAACUGUAGAACUGUCAUUGAUACUGAUUUUCUUGAAUUUAGUUGAGGUGGGCGGAAUGUGUAAUGUAGCGGUGAAAUGCUUAGAUAUUACACAGAACACCGAUUGCGAAGGCAGCUCACUAAGCUAAUAUUGACGCUGAGGCACGAAAGCGUGGGGAGCGAACAGGAUUAGAUA